CCUACGGGAGGCAGCAGUGGGGAAUCUUGCGCAAUGGGCGAAAGCCUGACGCAGCCAUGCCGCGUGAAUGAUGAAGGUCUUAGGAUUGUAAAAAUUCUUUCACCGGGGACGAUAAUGACGGUACCCGGAGAAGAAGCCCCGGCUAACUUCGUGCCAGCAGCCGCGGUAAUACGAAGGGGGCUAGCGUUGCUCGGAAUUACUGGGCGUAAAGGGAGCGUAGGCGGAUAGUUUAGUCAGAGGUGAAAGCCCAGGGCUCAACCUUGGAAUUGCCUUUGAUACUGGCUAUCUUGAGUAUGGGAGAGGUUAGCGGAACUCCGAGUGUAGAGGUGAAAUUCGUAGAUAUUCGGAAGAACACCAGUGGCGAAGGCGGCUAACUGGCCCAUUACUGACGCUGAGGCUCGAAAGCGUGGGGAGCAAACAGGAUUAGAUACCCUGGUAGUCCACGCCGUAAACGAUGAGUGCUAGUUGUCGGCAUGCAUGCAUGUCGGUGACGCGAGCUACGACAUAAGACACUCCGCCGUCGGGAGGUACGGUCGGCGAGAAGUUAAACGUAACUAAAUAGUUAAGUUAGUACGGUUCGUUGAGACGUUGCCGACGGACGACGACGAGGGGAGGAGG
This 618-nucleotide ribosomal RNA is filed under the name uncultured bacterium. Its description in RNAcentral is "bacterial SSU rRNA". The stretch from base 1 to 519 matches the Rfam family "Bacterial small subunit ribosomal RNA", at positions 338 to 873 of the family's 1533-position model. The record is from RNAcentral.